CAGACUUGCCUCCACUAAUAUUUCUCUUCCUUUCACUUCAUAUCGGCCUCAAACCACCUCCUCCUCCACCUCCUCCACUUACUACUGCUCCUCUCCAUUUUCCUCCACCUGUUCCUCUCCACCCAAGCCUUCCACAAUCACUAUCACCUUAAAUAAACCUGACCUAACCUCUUCCACUGUCUCCUCCACCUCCUCCUCCACCUACUUCUCCACUUUUUCCCCACCUCGCAUCAUCUCCACCACCACUGCUACCGUGUGCUUCACCUCCACGAAGAGCCUCAAAAUUGCUUCCACCUCCUCCUCCACCUCCUCCACCUCCUCCUCCACCAGACCUACCUCCACCCCUGCAGAUUAUUUCACCUCCACUUUUUCCACUUCUCCAUAUUUUAACCCCUAUGCUUCCACGUCACCUCCCUCCUCCUCUUCCACUUCCUCCUCCUCCUCCUCCACUUACAAGAGGCCCCGUGAUCCGCCAAAAAGUGGAGAGCUAGGGCGGAAGAGAAUCAGGCAGCCAUUUUCCCUCCUCCAGAGCCCCUAGAGAGUGAAGUAAGUGGAUUCAAGUGGAUUUUAAGUGGAUUUUAAUGACUAUAAGAGGAUUUUAGUGGAUUUUGAUGAAGUUAAGUGGAUUUUGAUUGAUUUAAGUGGAUUUUUGUAAAUUUAAGAGUAUUUUGGUGGAUUUAAGUGGAUUUUAAAUGAUUGUAAGAGGAUUUUGUUGCAUUUAAGUGGAUUUUGAUGCAUUUAAGUGGAUUUUGAUUUAUUUAAGUGGAUUUUAAAUGAUUGUAAUAGGAUUUUUGUGGAUUUAAGUGGAUUUUGAUUAUUUUAAGUGGAUUUUGAUUGAUUGAAGUGGAUUUUGGUGUAUUAUAAGUGGAAUUUGAUACUUUAAGUGUGCUUUUGUUAGUGUUAAGUGGAGUGAAGUGGAUCUAAGUACAUUUAAGAGGUCUGGGGUGGAAAUGUUGUAAGUGGAGUUACAAGAUUAUUUUGUAGGUUUUAAGUGGAAAUAGAUGGUUUUUAUUCAGUUUUAAGUGAGAGAGAGAGAGAGAGAGAGAGCUUAAAGACAGGAAAAGGAAGAAAAGGAAAAAAUAGAAGAGAGAGAGAGAGAGUGAGAGAGAGAGAGAGAGAGAGAGAGAGAGAUAAUUAAUGAACUCUACAGGUAAACAUUGGGGCAAACAAAAGACAGGUAAACAUUCCAGCUACAAGUACAAUGAAGGUUAGGUUAAGUUAGGUCAGGUUAGGUUGUAAAUGGAUUCUGUUGGUAAUUAAGUGGAUUUAAGUGGAUUUUGAUGGUUUAUAAGUGGGUUUUUGUAAUUAAGUGAAAUUAUAAGUGUGUGUGUGUGUGUGUGUGUACUUUUAAUAUUACCAGUUUUAUUCGAACAAACUAGAUAAUUGUAAAAAACGCUCUGGAUUCUUUAGGUUAGGCUUGGUGUGUGUGUGUGUGUGUGUGUGUGUGUGUGUGUGUGUGUGUGUGUGUGUGUGCGCUUUCAGUAUUAUGAAGAAUCUCGGCCUAAGAUCUAAGAGUAAUGUCUUUAUAAAUCCGUGCGUCAGUGUAGAAUUUAGCGAUGAAAUAGAGAUUAAUUAUAUUUUUGUGUGGGGUGAAAAAUUGGUGUUAAUUUUGUAUAGAAAUGGAUUAGUGAUAGACAGACUGAUAGAUAGAUGGUUAUAGAUAAAGAUAGAUAAAGAAAUGAGAGGAAGAAGGAGAAAAUAAAAGAAAAGAAGAGGAAGAAGA
RNAcentral lists this long non-coding RNA (1723 nucleotides) under Portunus trituberculatus (swimming crab). RNAcentral describes it as "uncharacterized LOC123519299". The record is from RNAcentral. Lineage: Eukaryota; Metazoa; Arthropoda; Malacostraca; Decapoda; Portunidae.